AACCUCCAGAGCACAGAAGGAGCUCCCUCCUGAGAACAGCCCAUUCAUUCCUCUUUGGGUUGGUACCUUGAGGAAUCCACACGUCUGUCAGAAUGCAUUUCAGCUAACCACGGAAGAGCUGCCAAAACAGAAUUUCUCUCAAUCUCGAGAUUUGAAAGUUCUUGGUUGCCCUCUGCUGGGAACAAUGCCACAUUAGUUUCAAGGCAGCAAAAUAUUUAGAAUCUACGGCUUCAAACUUGGUCGUCCCUAUUCUUCUCCUGAUUGGCUGGAUUGUGGGCUGUGUCGUAAUGAUUUAUGUGAUCUUCUCUUGAUAGAAGAAAGAAGAUUUCAGACUGACAUCUUUUAGAAGACCCAAGAAGAGAAAUGAAAAUGACUAAUCAUUAAAAAUAUUGCAUCGAUAA
Molecule: non-coding RNA, 401 nt
Organism: Phascolarctos cinereus (koala)
Lineage: Eukaryota; Metazoa; Chordata; Mammalia; Diprotodontia; Phascolarctidae
Source: RefSeq, a predicted model, not a curated record